Molecule: ribosomal RNA, 2842 nt
Filed under: Salmonella enterica subsp. enterica serovar Bredeney
Lineage: Bacteria; Pseudomonadati; Pseudomonadota; Gammaproteobacteria; Enterobacterales; Enterobacteriaceae
Description: partial 23S ribosomal RNA
Rfam family: Bacterial large subunit ribosomal RNA
Source: RNAcentral
CGAUAAGCGCCGGUAAGGUGAUAUGAACCGUUAUAACCGGCGAUACCCGAAUGGGGAAACCCAGUGUGACUCGUCACACUAUCAUUAACUGAAUCCAUAGGUUAAUGAGGCGAACCGGGGGAACUGAAACAUCUAAGUACCCCGAGGAAAAGAAAUCAACCGAGAUUCCCCCAGUAGCGGCGAGCGAACGGGGAGGAGCCCAGAGCCUGAAUCAGCAUAUGUGUUAGUGGAAGCGUCUGGAAAGGCGCGCGAUACAGGGUGACAGCCCCGUACACAAAAGCGCAUGUGCUGUGAGCUCGAUGAGUAGGGCGGGACACGUGGUAUCCUGUCUGAAUAUGGGGGGACCAUCCUCCAAGGCUAAAUACUCCUGACUGACCGAUAGUGAACCAGUACCGUGAGGGAAAGGCGAAAAGAACCCCGGCGAGGGGAGUGAAAAAGAACCUGAAACCGUGUACGUACAAGCAGUGGGAGCACAGGUUUACCUGUGUGACUGCGUACCUUUUGUAUAAUGGGUCAGCGACUUAUAUUCUGUAGCAAGGUUAACCGAAUAGGGGAGCCGGAGGGAAACCGAGUCUUAAUUGGGCGUUAAGUUGCAGGGUAUAGACCCGAAACCCGGUGAUCUAGCCAUGGGCAGGUUGAAGGUUGGGUAACACUAACUGGAGGACCGAACCGACUAAUGUUGAAAAAUUAGCGGAUGACCUGUGGCUGGGGGUGAAAGGCCAAUCAAACCGGGAGAUAGCUGGUUCUCCCCGAAAGCUAUUUAGGUAGCGCCUCGUGAAUUCAUCUCCGGGGGUAGAGCACUGUUUCGGCUAGGGGGCCAUCCCGGCUUACCAACCCGAUGCAAACUGCGAAUACCGGAGAAUGUUAUCACGGGAGACACACGGCGGGUGCUAACGUCCGUCGUGAAGAGGGAAACAACCCAGACCGCCAGCUAAGGUCCCAAAGUCAUGGUUAAGUGGGAAACGAUGUGGGAAGGCCCAGACAGCCAGGAUGUUGGCUUAGAAGCAGCCAUCAUUUAAAGAAAGCGUAAUAGCUCACUGGUCGAGUCGGCCUGCGCGGAAGAUGUAACGGGGCUAAACCAUGCACCGAAGCUGCGGCAGCGACACUAUGUGUUGUUGGGUAGGGGAGCGUUCUGUAAGCCUGUGAAGGUGGCCUGUGAGGGUUGCUGGAGGUAUCAGAAGUGCGAAUGCUGACAUAAGUAACGAUAAAGCGGGUGAAAAGCCCGCUCGCCGGAAGACCAAGGGUUCCUGUCCAACGUUAAUCGGGGCAGGGUGAGUCGACCCCUAAGGCGAGGCCGAAAGGCGUAGUCGAUGGGAAACGGGUUAAUAUUCCCGUACUUGGUGUUACUGCGAAGGGGGGACGGAGAAGGCUAUGUUGGCCGGGCGACGGUUGUCCCGGUUUAAGCGUGUAGGUGUGUGUUCCAGGUAAAUCCGGUUCACUUUAACACUGAGGCGUGAUGACGAGGCACUACGGUGCUGAAGCAACAAAUGCCCUGCUUCCAGGAAAAGCCUCUAAGCAUCAGGUAACAUCAAAUCGUACCCCAAACCGACACAGGUGGUCAGGUAGAGAAUACCAAGGCGCUUGAGAGAACUCGGGUGAAGGAACUAGGCAAAAUGGUGCCGUAACUUCGGGAGAAGGCACGCUGACACGUAGGUGAAGUGAUUUACUCAUGGAGCUGAAGUCAGUCGAAGAUACCAGCUGGCUGCAACUGUUUAUUAAAAACACAGCACUGUGCAAACACGAAAGUGGACGUAUACGGUGUGACGCCUGCCCGGUGCCGGAAGGUUAAUUGAUGGGGUCAGCGCAAGCGAAGCUCCUGAUCGAAGCCCCGGUAAACGGCGGCCGUAACUAUAACGGUCCUAAGGUAGCGAAAUUCCUUGUCGGGUAAGUUCCGACCUGCACGAAUGGCGUAAUGAUGGCCAGGCUGUCUCCACCCGAGACUCAGUGAAAUUGAACUCGCUGUGAAGAUGCAGUGUACCCGCGGCAAGACGGAAAGACCCCGUGAACCUUUACUAUAGCUUGACACUGAACAUUGAGCCUUGAUGUGUAGGAUAGGUGGGAGGCUUUGAAGUGUGGACGCCAGUCUGCAUGGAGCCGGCCUUGAAAUACCACCCUUUAAUGUUUGAUGUUCUAACGUGGACCCGUGAUCCGGGUUGCGGACAGUGUCUGGUGGGUAGUUUGACUGGGGCGGUCUCCUCCUAAAGAGUAACGGAGGAGCACGAAGGUUGGCUAAUCCUGGUCGGACAUCAGGAGGUUAGUGCAAUGGCAUAAGCCAGCUUGACUGCGAGCGUGACGGCGCGAGCAGGUGCGAAAGCAGGUCAUAGUGAUCCGGUGGUUCUGAAUGGAAGGGCCAUCGCUCAACGGAUAAAAGGUACUCCGGGGAUAACAGGCUGAUACCGCCCAAGAGUUCAUAUCGACGGCGGUGUUUGGCACCUCGAUGUCGGCUCAUCACAUCCUGGGGCUGAAGUAGGUCCCAAGGGUAUGGCUGUUCGCCAUUUAAAGUGGUACGCGAGCUGGGUUUAGAACGUCGUGAGACAGUUCGGUCCCUAUCUGCCGUGGGCGCUGGAGAACUGAGGGGGGCUGCUCCUAGUACGAGAGGACCGGAGUGGACGCAUCACUGGUGUUCGGGUUGUCAUGCCAAUGGCACUGCCCGGUAGCUAAAUGCGGAAGAGAUAAGUGCUGAAAGCAUCUAAGCACGAAACUUGCCCCGAGAUGAGUUCUCCCUGAGACUUAGAGUCUCCUGAAGGAACGUUGAAGACGACGACGUUGAUAGGCCGGGUGUGUAAGCGCAGCGAUGCGUUGAGCUAACCGGUACUAAUGAACCGUGAGGCUUAACCUUACA